AAAGGCGAUGGUGUAAAAUAUAAGGCCAAGCUGAUUGGCAUUGAUGAUGUGCCAGAUGCAAGAGGGGAUAAAAUGAGCCAAGACUCUAUGAUGAAACUAAAGGAAUGGCGGCAGCUGGUCGGUCUCAGGGACAACACAAACAAAGGAUCUGGGUCAACAUUUCCCUUUCUGGGAUAAAAAUAAUUGAUGAGAAAACUGGGUAAUAGAGCAUGAACAUCCAGUAAAUAAGAUUUCUUUCAUUGCCCGUGAUGUGACAGACAACCGGGCAUUUGGUUACGUGUGUGGAGGAGAAGGCCAGCAUCAGUUUUUUGCCAUAAAAACCGGGCAACAGCUGAACCAUUAGUUGUUGAUCUUAAAGACCUUUUUCAAGUUAUCUAUAAUGUAAAGAAAAAGGAAGAAGAAAAGAAAAAGGCAAGGAAGCCAGCAAAGCAGUUGAAAUGGGAGUGAGGCCCUAAUGAUUCUAGAUGACCAAACUAACAAACUGAAAUCGGUGUUGACCAGAUGGAUUUGUUUGGGGACAUGUCUACACCUCCUGACCUAAAUAGUCCAACAGUAAGUGUUAUAUCCUGUUAGUGGAUCUAAACUCUGAAAUCGACACCAAUCAGAAUUCUUUAAGAGAAAAUCCAUUCUUAACAAACGGCAUCACCUCCUGUUCUCUUCCUCGACCAACGCCUCAGGCAUCCUUCUUGCCUGAAAAUGCCUUUUCUGCCAAUCUCAACUUCUUUCCCACCCCUAAUCCUGAUCCUUUCCGUGACGAUCCUUUCACACAGCCAGACC
This 777-nucleotide long non-coding RNA is filed under the name Homo sapiens (human). RNAcentral's name for it is "non-protein coding lnc-C9-1:8". Lineage: Eukaryota; Metazoa; Chordata; Mammalia; Primates; Hominidae. The record is from RNAcentral.